GAUGAAGAACGUAUCGAAAUGCGAUACUUGGUGUGAAUUGCAGAAUCCCGUGAACCAUCGAGUCUUUGAACGCAAGUUGCGCCCGAAGCCAUUAGGCCGAGGGCACGCCUGCCUGGGCGUCACACGUCGUUGCCCCCCCAUCUACUCCUUCGGGAUUGCGGGGGGCGGAUGAUGGCCUCCCGUGCGCCUCGUCGCGCGGUUGGCCUAAAUGCCAAGUCCUCGGCGACGCACGCCACGACAAUCGGUGGUUGCGAAACCUCGGUUGCCUGUCGUGUGCGGUCGUCGCGCAUCGAGGGCUCGAAAAAAUUGCCGGGCUUCGGCUCGACUUUCAACGCGACCCCAGGUCAGGCGGGGUUACCCGCUGAAUUUAAGCAUAUCAAUAAGCGGAGGA
This 391-nucleotide unclassified non-coding RNA is filed under the name soil metagenome. RNAcentral's name for it is "partial contains 5.8S ribosomal RNA, internal transcribed spacer 2, and large subunit ribosomal RNA". The stretch from base 1 to 122 matches the Rfam family "5.8S ribosomal RNA", at positions 35 to 154 of the family's 154-position model. The record is from RNAcentral.